This 279-nucleotide ribosomal RNA is filed under the name uncultured archaeon. Its description in RNAcentral is "partial 16S rRNA". It matches the Rfam family "Archaeal small subunit ribosomal RNA", at positions 1047 to 1325 of the family's 1478-position model. The record is from RNAcentral.
GAGACCCACGCCCACAGUUGCCAGCGUACUCUCCGGAGUGACGGGUACACUGUGGGGACCGCCGCUGCUAAAGCGGAGGAAGGAAUGGGCAACGGUAGGUCAGUAUGCCCCGAAUGUCCCGGGCUACACGCGGGCUACAAUGGCUGGUACAAUGGGUAUCUACCCCGAAAGGGGAUGGAAAUCUCCUAAAGCCAGUCUUAGUUCGGAUUGAGGGCUGCAACUCGCCCACAUGAAGCUGGAAUCCGUAGUAAUCGAGUCUCAAAAUGGCGCGGUGAAUAU